Molecule: long non-coding RNA, 12728 nt
Filed under: Triticum aestivum (bread wheat)
Lineage: Eukaryota; Viridiplantae; Streptophyta; Magnoliopsida; Poales; Poaceae
Description: long non-coding RNA (TAES_LNC012360)
Source: RNAcentral
ACACCAUGUGGGUCUCUUCCAUCAUCUAACCUUCAAGAACCUAGAGCAAAAACACCAAAGCCAAGUGAGCAAUAGUAAACACAAAUCAAACAUGAAGACCUUCAUCAUAUUUGUCCUCCUUGCUAUGGUGAUGAGCAUCGCCAGUGCCACUAGGCAACUAAGCCCUAGAGGCAAGGAGUUGCAAACACCACAAGAACAAUUCCCCCAACAGCAAUUCCCUCAACCACAACAAAUCCUCCAACAACAAUUCCCCCAACAACAACAAAUCCCCCAGCAACCGCAACAAUUCCCCCAACAGCAAAUCCCACAACAGCAAAUCCCGCAACAACAAUUCCCCCAACCACNNNNNNNNNNNNNNNNNNNNNNNNNNNNNNNNNNNNNNNNNNNNNNNNNNNNNNNNNNNNNNNNNNNNNNNNNNNNNNNNNNNNNNNNNNNNNNNNNNNNNNNNNNNNNNNNNNNNNNNNNNNNNNNNNNNNNNNNNNNNNNNNNNNNNNNNNNNNNNNNNNNNNNNNNNNNNNNNNNNNNNNNNNNNNNNNNNNNNNNNNNNNNNNNNNNNNNNNNNNNNNNNNNNNNNNNNNNNNNNNNNNNNNNNNNNNNNNNNNNNNNNNNNNNNNNNNNNNNNNNNNNNNNNNNNNNNNNNNNNNNNNNNNNNNNNNNNNNNNNNNNNNNNNNNNNNNNNNNNNNNNNNNNNNNNNNNNNNNNNNNNNNNNNNNNNNNNNNNNNNNNNNNNNNNNNNNNNNNNNNNNNNNNNNNNNNNNNNNNNNNNNNNNNNNNNNNNNNNNNNNNNNNNNNNNNNNNNNNNNNNNNNNNNNNNNNNNNNNNNNNNNNNNNNNNNNNNNNNNNNNNNNNNNNNNNNNNNNNNNNNNNNNNNNNNNNNNNNNNNNNNNNNNNNNNNNNNNNNNNNNNNNNNNNNNNNNNNNNNNNNNNNNNNNNNNNNNNNNNNNNNNNNNNNNNNNNNNNNAACAACAAUUCCCCCAACAACAAUUCCCCCAGCAACCACAACAACAAUUCCCCCAACAACAAUUUCCCAUACCAUACCCACCCCAACAACAAUCACAAGAAGCUUCCCCAUACCAACAAUACCACAACAACACCUAUCUGGGAACGACGUUAUAAGUAUCAGUGGCCGAUGAAAUAAAGAGAUGUACUACUAGACAGGUGAAUCAUCGUUGUUAGUCAAUGGAGCAUAAUGUAACGGGUAUAAAUAAAAUGAUGUGCACCAUCAUGUGUAACCCCGACAUGUACUAGUUCAAACAUGGGAAUAAAAGACAAAUAAGUUCUUUUCUGAAGCACAUUGCUGGCAAUCGUUAUAUUCAUGCCAUAUUUCGAUUUCCAUCGGUAACUCCAAUCUCAAUGUUAUGGUCUAUCUACUUAUUUAUGAAGUGUAGUAUUAUGAACAUAACAUAAUUAACAUGUCUGAAAAUUGGCUCAAAUUGAAGUACUACUAAUUCAAGAGUAAGGAGUAAUUACAAUUUAACAUUUCAAUGGAGAGCUCUAAUUGUAGACUGCGUUGUUAAUUCCCCGAAGAGGAAAGGAUGAUGUAGUAUAGUAGAGAUAAGUGUUUCCCUCAGCUAAGAACCAAGGUUAUCAAUCCAGUAGGAGAACCGCACAAAACCUCGUUAGCAGCACCUGCACACACAAAAGCAAACACUUGCACCGAACGCAAAUAAGAGGGUUGUCAAUCCUCUUAGCGAUUAUUUGCAAGGAUUAGUUCUGACAGUGAUACAUAGAUAAAAUAAAUUACUAAAUAAAAUAAAAAUAAAUAAAUUGCAGCAAUGUAUUUUUGUGCUUUUAUAUAUGAUAAAAGUAGACCCGGGGGGGGCAUAGUUUUCACUAGAGGAUUCUCUCUUGAUCAUAAAACAUAUGGUGGGUAAACACAUUACUGUUGGGCAAGCUAUUAUAUACUAAAAGGAAAAUACUGGUCCAAAAUAGAGAAUAGGCUAGAAAAUCUGGCGUUAAUUAGAAAAUAUGAACCCUUGAUCCGUUUAAUUUUAAAAAUUAUAAAUCUAUGACCGUUCAAUAUACGUAACAAGGUCGGGCGUGGAUAACUUCCCGCGUAACGUGACACAUGUAAGAAACACAAACAUGAGUCCAGUUAAGGCAAACACGUAGAUGUGUUGAAGUGGGAAUGAAUAGAAUUGCUACGUCCGAAUAUGCAAGAGAUAGAAAAGAUGAAGAAAACUAAAGAACAUGUCGUGUUCAGAUUGGACUAAACGUAUGUGCGUAUACAACCACAACCACAAUCCGAAAGAUCCAGCCAUUAAUCCCGUGGGUCCAUCCAAAACAAAAGGUGGAUAUCCAUCUAAUUGCCCCACGUCCAUGGAACAUACUUAUUAGAGUCCACAAACAGUAGCCGCUGGUCUCUUUUACGUGAUCCUCCUUGCACUGUUAGGACUUUGCCGUCGGACAUCCUUAAGUUCUUGUGAAGUUCACAUCUAAAAAUACUAUCAUAGUAAAAAAAUCCAUUUCAUACUCCAAGAAAGAUAUCACCAUCCCAAAGUUUCAAUUGCAAUCUAAGUUUUGCCACAACUGGGUAUUUAAAACUUAUUUUACCACAGCUCGGCAAUUUCAGCCACUAAGGUUUUUGUGGCAGAUGAAGCAUCUUCCCAUUGGAAACUCCCAACUGUAAAAAGACUAGCAAAUUAGCAAUCAUUGGCAAAUCAGCAAUCUUAUAGCGGCAGCAGCUCCCAUCAAUCAGGUAACUCAUCUUCCAAAAAUCAGAGACAAUAAGCAACCAUACACAUCAUGCACAUAUGAUAUUAACAUAAUUACAUAUGUGAUUUCUGUGUUGAAUUUCGUACAACAUUACCAUGAAGAGAAGCGCAUCCACAUGGCAAGUAAUUUCCAAAAGCCGCCAAAAAGGUGAAAAGCAAUCAAAUAUGCAAUCCAACAAGUUAAUUAUUAAGCUAUAGACCAUGCAUGUUUCAGUGGUGCAUACAAGAUCAGUAGAACAAAUUCCUAGCCGUUACGACAUUCAUCAGGGAGGCGAGGACUAUGAAGCGACGGGUUGCGAGCUGGAGGGAAUGGCGGCGCACCCCGUGUCUCAGCCGAGAGAGGAGAGGCCGGGGAUAGAAUUAAGAGAGACACGAGUGAUGUCAGAUGAUAGGCUAGGGAUCGUUGGGCGUUCUCACAUAUUGCGUGGAGGAGGUUAGCUAAAUGGGCCAGCACAAAGGCCCAGUCAACCGCAGGUGGCAGAGUUUUCUCCCAGUGCAGCAGCCCUUUAGGACAGUUGAGCCAAGAAAUAUAGUUACAAAAUUAGGAAUUCAUCCAACAGUCAGAAAUGAUCUAUACAAGUGAUCUGAUAGUUACAAAUGUUGAAUGCUUGAGAGAGCUGGGAUAAGGCUAAGUUUUACUGUCCUAAAUGUAUUAGAUAUGUAGAAUCUGACAGUUAUUAAAGUUUAAUUGUCCUUCAGAAAAAACUAUGGCUAAUCACCACUACGCUAAUUACUUUUUACAAUUGUUGUACAUGAAUGGGGGUUAGGCAAGCGUAACACUGCUGAUGAGGGUCCCAAACCCGAUAAAGGUGGAGGGUGCAUAAUCAAAUUAACAUCUAACACUAACAUGCAAUACCUUUUAAGUUCAUAUAUUGAUUCAAUCGCAAAAGGGAAAAAUGAAACAAAAGUAGGCAGCGGGACCUGGAAGUCAACAGAGGAAACAGAAGGGUAUGCUCAUCGUGUGGAAUCGUUUGUGGGGGGCGAGCUGAGUAAACAGAGGAAGGUGAUCGAACGACGUCUCAGGUUUAUUUGUUUACUGAACAGACAGACAUGUGUAAGUUUUUUUUCCCUUUGAGGGGAAAGACGUGUGUAACUAGGGAGGGAUGAUUUUGCACGUUCUGUAUUUUUUUCCACCAGAAAACAGAUACUACUUUAACAAAUAAAUCCUACACUAAAUAUUUUAUAUGCUGCAAAUUAUAGGCCACAUACGCAUGAGCCUAAAUUAUAGGCGACUAUUUCAUAGGGUGAAAGUAAACAAAAUAGAAAAUCUUAUAGGCGACAUGAGCAUGAACCUAAAUUAUAUAUUUUAUAUGCUGCAAAUUAUUUUAAAAACAUGUGAAAAUAUAGUGCAUGAUCAUCAGACCAAAAACUCUAGCCUGUACAAAACACUCAUAUUUAGACGUAUAUUUCAUAUGGAGCUGCCAAUUCAUAUCAAUCCGGCACUACAACAGUAACACUAUCGUGCAGCCGCUUAAGUCAAAUCUAAAGUUAAAGCUAAUCAACACAAAAUAUCCAAUGUAAAAGGAAUUACUUAUACUAAAAAUAUAAAAUAUACCUAAGAGUGCGAAAGAUGACGAAUAUUUACUAUAAGAGUGCUAGCCCUCGCAUUUGCGAGGGCCACCUUGCUAGUUGAUAAAAAACAAAUAAUUAUGAUGGAUUCAUGGCAAUGAUCAUGUAUAUAGGCAUCACGUUCGAGACAAGUAGACCGACUCCCGUCUGCAUCUACUACUAUUACUCCACCCAUCGACCGCUAUCCAGCAUGCAUCCAGAGUAUUAGGUAUAAAACAGAGUGACGCCUUAAGUACGAUGACAUGAUAUAGAUAAAGUAAAUUCAAGAAAUAUGAUUAAACCCCAUCUUUUUAUCCUUAAUUGUCAGCCCAUUGGCUGUUAUUUUCCCCGAUCUGACCAUCCGUGACGCUCCUGUUGUUCGCAACGCUACCGCUACGACUGCGGGAGCAUGUCAUUUUCGUUAUACAUGUAACCCAAAAAUAUCUCUAACAUUAAUGACAACAAUACAAAUACGUGUUAUGUCCCUUUUUGUCACUGGGAUUGAGCAAUGCAAGAUUGAAUCCAUCACAAAGCACCUCUCCCCAUUGCAAGAUAAACCAAUCUAGUUGGCCAAACCAAAUCGAUAGAUCAGGGAGAAAUAUAAAGCUAAAAUAAUCACGCAUAAAAGAGCUCAGAGAAGACUCAAAUAUUUCUCAUGAAUCAUAUGAUCAUAAACUCACGAUUCAUUGGAUCCCAACAAACACACCGGAAAAGAAGAUUACAUCGGAUAGAAAUCCAAGAACAUCGGGGAUAACUUUGUAUUGAAUAUCAAAGAGAGAGAAGAAGCCAUUUAGCUACUGGCUAUGGACCCAUAGGUGUGUGGUAAAAUACUCACACAUCAUCGGAAGGGCAGCAUGGUUUAUGUGGAAGCCCUUCGUGAUCGAUUCCCCCUCCGGCAGAGUACUGGAAAAGGCCUCCCGACGGGAUCGCGGAAAAACAGAGGCUUGCGGCGGAGAAAAAGUUUUCUCAUCUAUCUCUCUGGUGGUUAUGGAAUAUUUGUGAUUUAUAGUGGAAGAAUUAGGUCAGGAGGUGCCACGAGGGGGCCAUAAGCCUAGGGGCGCGGUGAUACGUCCAUUUUGCAUCAUGUUUUAUUACAGUUAUUUAUUAAGUUUUGAGCUAAUAUAACACUUCAUGGAGUAUUUCUAAUGCAUUUUCUCUCUUAAUAUGCAAGGUUUACACAAAGAGGGAGAAUACCGGCAGCUGGAUUUCAGGGCCUGAAAAAGCUACAUCAGAGAUCCCUAUUCUGCACAUCUCCAAAUGGGCUGAAAAUUCACGAAGAUUUAUUUUAGAAUAUAAAAAAAUACUGGGCCAAAGAUCCACGGGAGGAGGCCACCCAGGUGCCCACACAGCAAUAGGGCGCGCCCCACCCCUAGGGCGCGCCCUGAUGCUGUAUGAGGCCCCUGGCCCAAUUCAGGCCCCCUCCUUCUGGUAUAUAAGUCAUUUUACCAUAAAAUAUUUAUGGGGAGACUUUCAGGACGAGGCGCCGCUGCCACGAGGCGGAACUAGAGCAGGAGAAAUUUGGCUCUCCGGCGUGCAGAUUCCGCCGGGGAUACUUCCCUCCGGGUGGUGGAAAUCGAAGCUUACGUCAUCACUAACAACCCUCUCAUCGUGGGAGGACCAAUCUUCAUCAUCAUAAACCACAACACCAUCUCAUCUCUAUCCCUAGUUCAUAUCUUGUAUUCGAUCUCUGUGUCAAAACAUUAGAUUGGUACUUGUGUUUGACUAGUAGUGUUGAUUACUUAUCGUAGUUGAUGCUAGUGGAUUUGUUUGGUGAAUUACCAAAUGUUCUGAUCGUGCAUCCAAAUUAUAUUCUCUCUGAUCAUGAACAUGAUGAUGAUGUGUGAGUAGUUACUUUUAUUCUUGAGGACAUGGGAGAAGUCUUGUCAUUAGUAAUCAUGUGAUUCCGGUAUUCGUUCAAUAUUUUGAUGAUAUGUAUGUUGUGAUUCUCUUAGUGGUGUCAUAUGAACGUCGACUACAUGACACUUCACCAUUGAUGGGCCUAAGGGAACUCAUUGUGGAGUAGUAAUUAGAUGAUGGGUUGCUAGAGUGACAGAAGCUUAAACCCCAGUUUAUGCACUAUUCCGUAAGGGGCUGAUUUGGAUCCACUAGUUUAAUGCUAUGGUUAGACUUUGUCUUAAUUCUUUUUUCUUAGUUGCGGAUGUCGGUGUCAAAACCGACAGAUCUCGGGUAGGGGGUCCCAAGCUGUGGGUCUAGGAUCAAUAGGUAACAGUGACGAUGAACACGGUGUUUUACCCAGGUUCGGGCCCUCUGGAUGGAGGUAAAACCCUAUGUCCUGCUCUUGUUUGUAUUGAUGAAGUAUCAAGGUACAGAGUUGAUCUACCUCGAGAUCAUAUGUUCUGGUCUAAACCCUAGGGGUAUGAUCAGUAAUGUCAUAAUGAUGAUAAUAAUCUAUCGACUAGCCUGGCCUCGGCUUAUAUAAUGUACCAGAGGCCUAGGAUAACAAGACACCUAGUUAGCUAUGUUGGUGGAGAGGAGUCCUUGUCUUGGUCACCAAGUCUUGUGGAAUCUUUCCUGUAUAUGUCAUCGGUUGUCCGAACUGGCCCAUUAGUGAGGUCCUCGGUCCGACCCACUGGUCGGGAGACAACGUGGUGAGUACCCCCUAGUCCAGGACACCGUCAGCGGAUGCUUGCGAGAGGGGGUAAUCAUAAGUGGGAGGCUUGUUCAAGUAAGAACAGCACCCAAGCACCGGUCCACCCACAUAUCAAAUCAUCAAAGUAGCGAAAGCGAAUCGAAUGAACAUGAUGAAAGUGACUAGAUGAAAUUCCCGUGUGUCCUCAAGAACGCUUUUCUCAUUAUAAGUACUAGUUCUGGCCUGUCCUUUGCACUAAAAAGGAUUGGGAUAUCUUGCUGCACUUUAUUUACAUUUGUCACUUGCUACUCGUUACCAAUUAUCUUGCUAUCAGACUACUCGCUACCGCUUGUUUCAGUGUUUGCAAAAAUAUCGUUAUUGAAAACCGCAAGUCAUUUCCUUUUUCUUCUCGUUGGGUUCGACACUCUUACUUAUCGAAAGGACUAUGAUUGAUCCCCUAUACUUGUGGGUCAUCACGCGGCCACCCACCUGGGGCGCUCCGUCCCUAGCUUAUCACUCCCUCGAGACUCCUCGGGUCUUCCCCGAAGCUUCCAGGGUCUCUUUUGGUCCAGAAAACUUAAUCCAAUGUUUUUCUGUGUUUGUACCUUUUUUAUAAUGAUAUUAUAAAAUGAUAAAAACAAGCAAAAAAUAACAACUGGCACUAGGCACUACGUUAAUAGGUUAGUCCCAAAAAAUGAUACAAAAAUAGCAAAAAGUUGCAUAUAAAACAUCCAAGAAUGAUAAUAUAAUGGCACGAAACAAUAAAACAUUACAGAUAGGAGGCGUAUCAAGCAUCCCCAAGCUUAUUUCUUGCUCGUCCUCGAGUAGGUAAAUGAUAAAAACAAAAUUUUUGAUGUGGAAUGCUACCUAACAUGUUUCAUCAUGUAAUCUCUCUUACGGUAUGAAUAAUAAGAUCCGAAUGAUUCAAAGCAAUAGUCUAUAAUUUGAUAUAAAGACAUCAAUACUCAGGCAUACUAACAAACAAUCAUGCCUUUCAAAAUAACGAUGCUAACCCAAGUUAUCCCUACAAAAUCAUAUAAUCCUAUCAUGCUCCAUCUUCUUAACACAAAGUAUUUAUGAUGCACUACCCCAAUGACAAUCCAGGCAAUUGGUUCAUACUUCUUAACGUGCUUCAGCUUCAACCCCCGCGCAAUACAUGAUGGCAAGCCAAGGACAUAACACUAUGGAUGGAAUAGAACAUGAUGAUAGAGAUCAAUAAGGGGAAAUCCAAAAUAAGAAGAUAGUCUCACAUCAAUGCGGCUAACAAACGGGCUAUAGAGAUGCCCAAAAAUUGAUGUCAAUGCAAGGAGUAGGGAUUCCCAUGCAACGGAUGCACUAAGAAGGCACCCAAGGUAAUAUCCAAGGAGACUCCAGCGUCGAAGCUUGGGGAUGCCCCGGAAGGCAUCCCCUCUUAAUUCUAAUGACUAUCAGUAACGCACUUGAGGCAACAUUUUUACUCAUCACAUGAUAUGAGUUUUUCUUGGAGCGUCUUGUAUGAUAUGAGUCUUUGCUUUGUUUAUUUUUAGUUUAUCACAAUCAUCACCUCUGAACGCAUUUGCUUGAGAUAGCUUCACGUCAUCAUGAUUUACUUGAAUUGCCCUUUGUGCUUCACUUAAAUUUGUUGAGCUAGGUGGUUGCUCUAGUGCUUCAUUUAUAUCUUUUUUAACACGGUGGUGCUUUUGUUUUGAAGAAACUUGUUCUCAUGCUUCACUUAUAUCUUUUUGAGAAUGCUAGAAAUUUUAUAAAAAUAUUAGUCUCAUGCUUCACUUAUAUCUUUUUGAGAGUUCGAAAUUAGUUAUGGUAAAAUGUACAAGCUAUAAGCUUGGUCUCCAUAUGAUGAAUAUUCAAGAAGGAUAAUGAUAACUAGUAUAAAAAAUUUAUGGGACAUGAAUAACUUGAUUCUUUGCAACAAUUUUGAGAUAUGUAGAUGAUAAUACGUGAGUUAUGUUCAUGAAUAAUUAUACUCUAGUAUGAAUAUUGAUGUUAAGGUUUAUGAUUCCCUAUGCAAGCACGUAAAGUCAAUAGUUAUGCAAUGAAGUUACAUCCUACUUGUGGUGCAUUAUUCGGUGUUGGUUAUGUUUUAUGUAUGCAUGUGCAUCAUUACAGUUUCUUAGUUGGUCGCUUCUCAACCAUUUUGCUAGCCUCCAUUCGUACUAAGCGGGAAUACUGCUUGUGCAUCCAUUACCUUAAACUUGUUUUGCCAAUUGUGUCCAUCAUACCUACAUAUAUACGGUAUUUCAUUGCCGUCCCAAGUAAAUUUGCAUGUGCCAUCUCUAAUAAUUUUCAAAAUAAACUUCUCUUUUGUGUGCCUGUGUUGCUCAUGAAGUGAUAAGGGGUGGACGAUGAAUUUCGUGUUGUAUAUGUCAUUUUCAUGAUGAGUGUUUAUUCACUUGUCAUUGCACGAGAGUGUGGCGGUAAUAAAAGGGAUGCCCAGUCCCAAAAAUAAAUUGAAUUUCCUGGAAUGUGUUGUUAUGGAGGGCACCCGUGAAUACGGCUAGACAUGGAUUGUGAAAGGAAAGGUGGAAAAACUAACUCCUUCGGAUGUGAAUGGAAAAAAGGGACAAAAGUCUCAAAACCAUGGAACGAUGACAGGGAGCAAACAAUUUCUUUUCAGUUUGGGAGCCGCCUUUGAUGUAUAUAACUUGGAUGGUAUCGAAAGCCUUGAGUCGUUGUCGUUGACGAGAAAAGCAGGCCUCCCAAAAUAAUUUUUUAUCUCUUUUUAAAACUUGAGGUCUGGCACCACUGUAAAUCAAUGCUUCCCUCUGCGAAGGUCGUUCUAUUUAUUUUUAUGUUGAGUCUCAUCCUUCUCAUUAAAAAACCAACUAGGGGGUCAUGUGAUCAUGUGUGCGCAUGGAGUAUGAUUGACAUUCGACUGUGUUUCAUAAAUGGAUCAAUGGUUGAGCAUAAUGGGCUAGGGAUAAUUUUCUUUAGCAUUGUUAUUUUGAAAGGCAUGGUUGCGUGUUAGCAUUGGAGGGGGUAUAUAUAGCCACCUCAUCGGUCCCGGUUUGUGGCUGGAACCGGGACUAAAGGCCACCCUUCUGUCCUGGUUCUAGGCACGAACCGGGACCAAUGGCUGUGGGCUAGGAACGAGGACCAUUGGUCCCAUUCGUGCCUAGAACCGGGACAAAUGGGUACACACGAACCGGGACAAAUGCCUGCCGAGGACCGGCCGGCCCCCUGGGCGCACGAACCGGGACGUAUGACCCCCAUGGGUCCCGGUUCGUGACUGAACCGGGACUAAUGGGCUGGCCAGGCCCCAACCAAAGCCCUGUUUUCUACUAGUGAGGGGCGACGCUCUGCGGAGUUCUCCCUCUUGGGGGCGUUGUCGUGGAGCUUAGGUGUGCUAGGUCGUAGCGUGAGCAUGUUUUGUUCUUCUGGUACUUGUUGCUGGUAGCAUAGAAGCAUGCGUUUUGCAUGUGCCGGAUAUCUCAGGAUCGACUUUGUAAGGGCUACCAAACCAUAUUGUAUCGUUUGACCAUGUACAGCUUUGGAUGUUGCUUUGUUUAUAAAGCAGGGCAAAAUCCUAUUUCGAGAAUAAAGAAAACAACAGCAACAGCAAACAGGUCAACAACUUCAGAAUAGUUUUUCUUUUAAAAUUUCACUUGCUUAAUUAACUACAUGCAUAGGACUUUCUACAGUGUUUUAGAGAAGGACAACUAUGAUUUGCUAGCUAGUUAGGUAUUUCAACAGAACAUUAACAGCAAGGAGAAGGAGAAGAACUGUUAACAACCAGGCAGGCAGGUGGAGAGUGAGUGUGUGAGAGUGAGGUCUCUCUGGCUUUUUCCUGUAUGGCUACUCCUACUUCCUUCGCUGACAAAGACCUGUUCUGAAUCCGUAAUACUGAUUCAUAGUAAUGAUGGUGGAUCGACUAUACCUUGACUUAUCCAUGUACAACAAAAAUUACUACGUACAUGAUUAAAAAUCCAAGGGUCAAAUCCUGAUCAAUUGAUCCAGCAAAUUCUUCAUGAAUCUAGCAUGACAUCAAGUGUGAUUAAUAGGAGUUUCAAUUAUAAUUAGCCUCCGAGAAGCUACAUGGAGGAGGAUGUAGUCGUGUUUUGUGGCCUUGUCAGAAACUUCGCUUUCCAUCAAUCUGAAAACAAGUGGUAGAGGGCAAAAGAAUGAAAAAAAACAUGUGUAGAGGAUACGCAACACAUAAAGGCCACACACACAAAAACAGCGGUAUGGUAGCUGGUCCAUGACAUUGACAAGUCAAUUGAUUUGCUGCAACCAUAUAUAUGUACGAAUAAUAUCGCCAAGGAUAAGAGAAGGAAAAAAUAUAAAUAUACCGAUAGGCUCUUAUUUAGUUCCUGGAUGCAUGUUGCAUGAGCCAAGUGUAUCGGCAGUAUGGCUUGUGUUUGCUGCAUGAUGGCGGCAGGUUCCCAUUCAGUUAGGCAUGCUAAGUCCUAAAUUCAUUUAUUCACGUAUCGGGUAGAAGGAGAACAAAUUUCAUUUCUUUUCUGUAGGUUCCUUGCUUAAAAGAAAAUAGAAAAUAUACACUUAUAUAAUUACGAGAAAAAAUCAACUGUAUGUCGCUCAGUCUUCCCUUUUUGUUCCGUAUCAGUAUCAACAAUCAUAGUACUAAUAGCUUUCUAUACUGGCGCUAGUAAAUUCAAUAAAAGAAACAUGGAGACUAUCUGAACAAUUUGAAACAAUAUAGACAAACUGAGAUCAACUAACAACAGAAAUCCAAAAGAAAUGUUCAUGUCUACGUGGAGUGAAUCGAUCAAGCCGUGCAAAGCCCUAACAAUUUGUUUUGUAUUAAUAACUCAUAUGAUAAUACAACUCCUCCAUAUGAAAAGGUAAUAUGAUGAUUCAUGAAUGCUUAUCCAUCUUAUAAAUAUAUUGUGCACAAAAUAUCGAGUUAGUUCAGAGAAAACGGUGUCUAGAACAAUCUUCACAUUAAUAGUGUGAUCUAUCUCAAUGACUCACACAAGAUUACAAAGUUUGUUCCCUUAAGUAUGCCAAUCUGGAUACGCCUAACAAUAUGUAGAACAUGACAAACUAAAUCAGAACAAGGGACAAAAUCUAGAUCAAUGUUUGAAGUGUAAAGUGAAUACGAUGAGUCAUUUGUCGUUAUCAAGCAUUCCAUACACCUAGAUGAUAUGUGCAAGAACAAUCAACUAUGACGAACAAUCCAAAAUCACGAUAGUAAGUAGUACCAUAAUACACAACAUACCAAAUUAUUGUAAAUGAUAAGCUUAAGAGCACUUUUUCAAGAAGCAAGUGUGAAGAUUACAAACUUAGUUCCCUUAAGUUAUGCCAAUCUGGAUACACCUAACAACAUGUAGAACAUCACAAACUAAAUCGAAAGACGGACAAAAUCUAGAUCAAUGUUUGAAGUGUAAAGUGAAUACGAUGAGUCAUUAGUCGUGAUCAAGCAUUCGAUACAGCCAGAUGAUAUUUGCAAGAACACAACAUACCAAAUUAUUAGGUCGAUAAUCUUAAGUGCACUUUUUCAAGAAAAGAGUGGGAAGAUGAAAACAAAAUAUGUCAUGCCUGCUAUAAAUACGACUACACCAUGUGGGUCUCUUCCAUCAUCUAACCUUCAAGCACCUAGAGUAAAAACACCAAAGCCAAGUGAGCAAUAGUAAACACAAAUCAAACAUGAAGACCUUCAUCAUAUUUGUCCUCCUUGCUAUGGUGAUGAGCAUCGCCAGUGCCACUAGGCAACUAAGCCCUAGAGGCAAGGAGUUGCAAACACCACAAGAACAAUUCCCCCAACAGCAAUUCCCUCAACCACAACAAAUCCUCCAACAACAAUUCCCCCAACGACAACAAAUCCCCCAGCAACCGCAACAAUUCCCCCAACAGCAAUUCCCGCAACAGCAAAUCCCACAACAGCAAAUCCCGCAACAACAAUUCCCCCAACCACANNN